RNAcentral lists this unclassified non-coding RNA (423 nucleotides) under soil metagenome. RNAcentral describes it as "partial contains 5.8S ribosomal RNA, internal transcribed spacer 2, and large subunit ribosomal RNA". The stretch from base 1 to 120 matches the Rfam family "5.8S ribosomal RNA", at positions 35 to 154 of the family's 154-position model. The record is from RNAcentral.
GAUGAAGAACGUAGCGAAAUGCGAUAAGUAAUGUGAAUUGCAGAAUUCAGUGAAUCAUCGAAUCUUUGAACGCACCUUGCGCUCCCUGGUAUUCCGGGGAGCACGCCUGUUCGAGUGUCGCGAAAUUCUUCAAGCCUUGGAUGGAUUUUUUUUUGUCUGUCCUUGGGCUUGGUUGUUGGGCUCUGCAGUGUCCUUCAUUGGGACGGCUGGCCUUAAAAGCAUUAGCCGAUCCUCGUGUGGUACUGGUUCUACUCAGCGUGAUAACAAUCUGAUCGUUGAGGACAUCUUCUGGAUGGCCAGUCAUCAUUUGGGUUGCUUCUAAACCGGUUUCGCAGAUUGCUCAAUCUGUGUGCCACUUUUCAGCUUUGACCUCGAAUCAGGUGGGACUACCCGCUGAACUUAAGCAUAUCAAUAAGAGGAGGA